AGAGAAAAAUGCCAAGAAAAAAGCUUCUAACUUCAUUUCUGAGCGGUUACAUUCCGUUCCUUUCUC
Molecule: transfer RNA, 66 nt
Filed under: Cherax robustus
Lineage: Eukaryota; Metazoa; Arthropoda; Malacostraca; Decapoda; Parastacidae
Description: tRNA-Ser
Source: RNAcentral